This is a transfer RNA of Daphnia magna, 73 nucleotides long. It matches the Rfam family "tRNA". From Rfam's summary of the family: Transfer RNA (tRNA) molecules are approximately 80 nucleotides in length. Their secondary structure includes four short double-helical elements and three loops (D, anti-codon, and T loops). Lineage: Eukaryota; Metazoa; Arthropoda; Branchiopoda; Diplostraca; Daphniidae. The record is from Rfam.
GGUCACAUGGCUUAGAUGGCAAAGCACCUGCCUAGUACGCAGGAGAUCACGAGUUCGAGUCUCGUUGGGACCU